Molecule: transfer RNA, 70 nt
Filed under: Deveximentum ruconius (deep pugnose ponyfish)
Lineage: Eukaryota; Metazoa; Chordata; Actinopteri; Chaetodontiformes; Leiognathidae
Description: tRNA-Pro
Rfam family: tRNA
About the family: Transfer RNA (tRNA) molecules are approximately 80 nucleotides in length. Their secondary structure includes four short double-helical elements and three loops (D, anti-codon, and T loops). Further hydrogen bonds mediate the characteristic L-shaped molecular structure. tRNAs have two regions of fundamental functional importance: the anti-codon, which is responsible for specific mRNA codon recognition, and the 3' end, to which the tRNAs corresponding amino acid is attached (by aminoacyl-tRNA synthetases). tRNAs cope with the degeneracy of the genetic code in two manners: having more than one tRNA (with a specific anti-codon) for a particular amino acid; and 'wobble' base-pairing, i.e. permitting non-standard base-pairing at the 3rd anti-codon position.
Source: RNAcentral
CAAAGAGUAGUUUAAUUCAAAAUUCUAGCUUUGGGGGUUAGUGAUGAGGGUUUAAAUCCUUCCUCUUUGA